GGUGUCAUUGGAAGUGGCCUUUGGGUUUCAAAAGCUCAAGCCAGUCCUGGUGUCUCUGCCCUCUUGCUGCCCAAGGAUCCAGACAUAGAUUCCCAAGCUACUUCUCUAGCACCGUGUCUGCCCGUGUGCCGCCAUGCUCCCCACCAAGGAUGGGAAGCAUCUGUGCGAGGGAUUCCAGCGCCCACUGGUUCACUUUCUUGUUGGAAUCGUGAAGCCUUGGGGUGAAAGCAUCAAAGACCUAUUGAGGGAACAGAAACCAAGAGUUUGUGGGCUUGGCAGGCGUCAGCUGAGACUCCCCCUGCAUCCCUGAAGUGGAUCCCCAGGCCUGUGCUAGGGGGAUUCCCAGUGAUGAAGAGCUCAUCUCCUCAAAAGGGGAACAGGCACAAAGAGGAUGGACAGACUGUAUUCACAUGUCAAUCAUCCAGAACACUGGGGUCGGUCCUCUUCACUAUCGUUCCCUGACGACCUUGGCAGCCCAUGUUGCUAGUGCCAUUGUCAUUCACCAGUUUCCCAGUAACAAGGAAGGCUCAUGGAGGAGACUGAGUCUCCUCAGAUCACACAGCUCUUGGGGGGCUUGACUCAGCCUAGGUUGCCACCUGCCCGUCAGCGUCACUCCAAGGAAAAGCAGUAAAUCCUCCUGGUGU
RNAcentral lists this long non-coding RNA (644 nucleotides) under Mus pahari (shrew mouse). Its description in RNAcentral is "predicted gene 15641 (MGP_PahariEiJ_G0002810.1)". Lineage: Eukaryota; Metazoa; Chordata; Mammalia; Rodentia; Muridae. The record is from RNAcentral.